RNAcentral lists this ribosomal RNA (504 nucleotides) under uncultured bacterium. RNAcentral describes it as "partial 16S ribosomal RNA". It matches the Rfam family "Bacterial small subunit ribosomal RNA", at positions 30 to 523 of the family's 1533-position model. The record is from RNAcentral.
AUUGAACGCUGGCGGCAUGCUUUACACAUGCAAGUCGAACGGCAGCAUGGGUGCUUGCACCUGAUGGCGAGUGGCGAACGGGUGAGUAAUGUAUCGAAACAUAUCCGCAAGUGGGGGAUAACGUAGCGAAAGUUACGCUAAUACCGCAUAUUCCCUGAGGGGGAAAGGAGGGGAUCCGCAAGGACCUUUCGCUUACGGAGUGGCCGAUAUCAGAUUAGCUAGUUGGUGGGGUAAAGGCCUACCAAGGCGACGAUCUGUAGCGGGUCUGAGAGGAUGAUCCGCCACACUGGGACUGGGACCCGGCCCAGACUCCUACGGGAGGCAGCAGUGGGGAAUUUUGGACAAUGGGGGCAACCCUGAUCCAGCCAUGCCGCGUGAGUGAAGAAGGCCUUCGGGUUGUAAAGCUCUUUCAGCUGGAAAAAAAUCGCAUCACCUAAUACGUGGUGUGGAUGAUGGUACCAGCAGAAGAAGCACCGGCUAACUACGUGCCAGCCGCCGCCGUAA